AGCAGCCGCGGUAAUUCCAGCUCCAAUAGCGUAUAUUAAAGUUGUUGCAGUUAAAAAGCUCGUAGUUGAAUUUCGAGAUCAAUUUGUUGGUCGUGCCUUGGUACGUACUGGCAAUUUUGGUUUCUCCCUUCUGAAGAACCAUGAUGUCAUUAAUUUGGUGUCAUGGGGAAUCAGGACUGUUACUUUGAAAAAUUAGAGUGUUUAAAGCAGGCUCGCGCUUGAAUACAUUAGCAUGGAAUAAUGAAAUAGGACGUUUGAUUCUAUUUUGUUGGUUUCUAGGAUCGACGUAAUGAUUAAUAGGGAUAGUUGGGGGCAUUAGUAUUCAAUUGUCAGAGGUGAAAUUCUUGGAUUUAUUGAAGACUAACUACUGCGAAAGCAUUUGCCAAGGAUGUUUUCAUUAAUCAAGAACGAAAGUUAGGGGAUCGAAGACGAUCAGAUACCGUCGUAGUCUUAACCAUAAACUAUGCCG
Molecule: unclassified non-coding RNA, 469 nt
Filed under: uncultured Glomus
Lineage: Eukaryota; Fungi; Glomeromycota; Glomeromycetes; Glomerales; Glomeraceae
Description: SSU rRNA
Rfam family: Eukaryotic small subunit ribosomal RNA
Source: RNAcentral